Molecule: transfer RNA, 72 nt
Filed under: Bos taurus (domestic cattle)
Lineage: Eukaryota; Metazoa; Chordata; Mammalia; Artiodactyla; Bovidae
Rfam family: tRNA
About the family: Transfer RNA (tRNA) molecules are approximately 80 nucleotides in length. Their secondary structure includes four short double-helical elements and three loops (D, anti-codon, and T loops).
Source: Rfam by way of RNAcentral
ACCUUGUUGGCUCAGAUGGUAAGGAGUCUGCCUGCAAUGCAGGAGACCUGGGUUCAAUCCCUGGAGAAGGAA